Molecule: ribosomal RNA, 423 nt
Filed under: uncultured prokaryote
Description: bacterial SSU rRNA
Rfam family: Bacterial small subunit ribosomal RNA
Source: RNAcentral
UGAGGAAUAUUGGUCAAUGGGCGCAAGCCUGAACCAGCCAUCCCGCGUGCAGGAAGACGGCCCUAUGGGUUGUAAACUGCUUUUCCAGGGAGAGAAACUUGCGUACGCGUUGCGCAAUUGACGGUACCAUGGGAAUAAGCAUCGGCUAACUCCGUGCCAGCAGCCGCGGUAAUACGGAGGAUGCGAGCGUUAUCCGGAUUCAUGGGGUUUAAAGGGUGCGUAGGCGGACUAUUAAGUCAGUGGUGAAAGCCUGCAGCUUAACUGCAGAACUGCCAUUGAUACUGAUAGCCUUGAGUUGGGUUAAGGUAGGCGGAAUGUGUAAUGUAGCGGUGAAAUGCUUAGAGAUUACACAGAACACCAAUUGCGUAGGCAGCUUACUGAGCCGACACUGACGCUGAGGCACGAAAGCGUGGGGAUCGAACA